Long non-coding RNA from Vanessa tameamea, 309 nucleotides. RefSeq lists it as uncharacterized. Lineage: Eukaryota; Metazoa; Arthropoda; Insecta; Lepidoptera; Nymphalidae. The record is from RefSeq and is a predicted model, not a curated record. The transcript is spliced from 3 exons.
AGAAAGGUCUCCAGGAACAAGAUGGCUUCAUCAACCACGCGUUGCGCGUCCAGUUUCGAUGCUGCGAUCUGAAUAACACAACUCCCGUCACGAUACCCUGGUCAUGCUGUGACGUCACUCAUUCAGGCAACUGUACCACAGAUAACAUCUACAAGAAUGAUUGCAGAACAGAGUUUAUCUUAUGGUUAAAUAAAUACCAAACCAUUAUAUACUCGACUUUAGCGGUUCUUCACAUCCUAUUGUCGUCCUGCUCACUCUUACGUCGGCCGAGAUCGUCUCGCUCGGACGCAUAGCGAUCGCAGCGCCGAU